CAAAUGUAAGUUAGCAUGUAGCAAGUCGAAAAUCAACAUUUCAGUAAAAGACAGAAAGAAAUGCCAUCAACUUGCUAAAUAAAAACCUUUGUUUAAGAAAGAAAUCUGAAAGCAACUAAGCAUACAGGUUAUGGCCAUUAAUAUUAUAGCAUUUGGUUUUUUUUCCCUUUAUGUUUAGGGGGGCGGAGGGGGGGAUCCCAAUAACUAAAUCAUAAUGACAAUUACUCACCUAAUGCAAGAAGAUCACACUGAAAUAGGGGGAGAGCAUGAUUGCCAUUUUGCAGUAUUGAGAAGAACAAGACAACUAAUGAAAUAAAAACAUAGGCUACAAAAGAGACAUAUACUAAAAAAACUCCAUCAAGAAGAAGGUCCCAAGAACUAAAUCAUAAUGACAAUUACUCACCUAAUGCAAGAAGAUCACACUGAAAGAGGGGGAGAGCAUGAUUGCUGUUUUUCAGUAUUGAGAAGAAACAAGACAACUAAUGAAAUAAAAACAAAGGCUACAAAAGAGACAUAUACUAAAAAACUCCAUCAAGAAAGAAGAUAUAGGCCUGACUUUAAAAGUACAGAUAUUAUUAGAUUUUAUCUAGUUCCUUGAAAGCCAUCUGAAACAUUUUCAGCAUUUUUUUGAAACAUACAGUGAUAUUUCAUCGUUAACACAACCACACAAGUAGUGUUUGCCAUAGGUGAUAUUUUUCCCUUCAAGUAUCCAAGUAGUUGGGUUGCAUUUAUAAAAGGGAGAACUGGAAUUGCUAAACACUUCUUUUAUGUUCAAAGCUAUAGGUGAGGUUUGGUAUUACUCUAACAUGGUUGCAGCAUGUAUCAUGAGAUUAUGAAUUAUUUUGCAUCAAACAAGAAAGGUGAAGAGUUGCACUACAGGUUGUUGUAUUUGACAUCUAACAGGUUAACAAUGUGAAUUCAUUUCAUGAAAUCACUGUCGAAGAUUGAGAUGUAGAUUCCAAGUGCACAACUUACAAGAGUUCCCCUAAUUUAAAGGCAUGAUCAAACUACACUCACUUUUCUUCUAUUAUGAAAGAAUAACAAAAGAGAAGGCUAGUGAUUUGUUAGAGGUGGAUCUUCCUCCUAUUACCUCCAUUCAGGAUAGGAGUUUUGGGGGUGACUUUGAUGGAUCAACAUCUAUUCAGCAUGCAACAAUAUACACUCUUAAGGAUACUCACCUAUUAGAUAUUUUGGAUGACCACCCAACCAUGAGUCCAUUAUUUCCACACUAGAACUCAAACAACUAAAUUUGACUCUUUCAGGCACUACUCAGAACUUAACUGAGACCUACUACACAGUAGCAGUAACAUUCACAGAACACAAUACUCAUAAUAUGUUACAUGACACGUGAUAUCCAUUAGCAUCUUCAUUCCUUAGUUUCACCUUGUUCUUAAGGUGAAGAUGCCCAAUAAUGUUUGACCUCUCUCUUUUCUAUCAGCUCAUCACCAUCAUUAUAGUAGGACCUAUUGGCAUCAAAAAGACUAUUUUUACAAUGGCGACCUGGCAGAAAUUUUGCACCACAAUAAUUAAGCACCCAAUUCCAUGCCAUUGUCGAGCUUCCAUCAAUGAAAUAUGCUUAGCCAAUGGAGGUGCCGUAGUGGUAGUAAAGUUGUCAGUAGAGGCCUUCGUGGUGCCAUCCACAUGUUAUUUCCUGUGAUGAAGAUUAAGCUUCUCUUGCAAGAAAGCUUUAGCAUGGUUGCACGCCAAGAUGUAGGAUGGAGCAUUUGGACAUCAAUUCGAAUUACAUCGAUUAGCCCACAAGCAAAGUAGCCAAUUAGGAAACUCUCAAAAAGAUGAUCAGCAAGAUAGGCCACGAGCUCAAAGUUGGAUUGAUAAUCUUGCAAAGUUGAAGUUUGUCAAAACUUGGAUAAAGCAUCAGCAUACGUCGGAUCCGCCUCCAUGAUCUUAAUCUCUGCCCUCUUUAUCAUGUGAUACAAGAAGCUCAUCUGAGAGUAUCUCUCGCUAUCCACGGCCCGAAACACCUCAUACAAUGGUCUAAUAGCCUUCAUUAUUGUAGUGGCCUGCUGUCAGAAUGCCUGCCUCGUCACCAACUCCUCGACAAUGCUUCCUUUAGUGUCGGCCCUCACAUAUCUAUUUUCUACCACCGAGGCUGACAAACAUCUAACGUAGGUUGCUUUCUUCUCAAGAAGGCUAUCAAAUG
This 2161-nucleotide long non-coding RNA is filed under the name Phoenix dactylifera (date palm). RNAcentral describes it as "long non-coding RNA (PDAC_LNC001272)". Lineage: Eukaryota; Viridiplantae; Streptophyta; Magnoliopsida; Arecales; Arecaceae. The record is from RNAcentral.